AUUUAAAUAGUUUAAUUAAAAUAUUAAUUUGUGGGAUUAAAGUUAUAACUAUGUUAUUUUAGAUU
RNAcentral lists this transfer RNA (65 nucleotides) under Limnephilus decipiens. Its description in RNAcentral is "tRNA-His". Lineage: Eukaryota; Metazoa; Arthropoda; Insecta; Trichoptera; Limnephilidae. The record is from RNAcentral.